CUGACACAUUAACUCUAAUAGAAAUGAGCCAAAGCAAGAUCUUAGAGCCAAAAGGAAAGAGAACAGAGAGGUCAGAACGUCUCUGCAAUUUCUGAGAAAGUGCCAAGGCCAAUGAUGUGUUUGAACCGAGGCACUAGGUUCCUAAUGCAAGUGGAAAUCUCUACAGACAACUGAGGGGAGGGGUCAGGGAGAUGAGAUGAUGCUCAAAUAGCCAGAACUCACUGCUCAUCUGCCACUAACAAAAGUUAUUCUUUAUAAACACAUGAGCAAACAGGAACUCCCUAAAGGCAGUCAAAGACGACCUCAGUUUGGUGGCACUGCUUUAUCAAGCUGUCUUCCGUCUUCGGAACGGGGUGUGCCUGGGGAUGUGCGUGAAGAGGAAACAAAGAAGAACCCGGAGCGGCCAGGAGGACUCAGGAGUUGUGUGGCAAGCUACUGCGUCCUGACUCAGGCCAAACCUAGUUUCCAAGAGUAAUUACGAAUUUCCUCAAAACAAACGGUUACGGUUGAGUUUGUAACAUGUAAAGACCAAUAUGGGUUUUACAAAUCGAGUGAGGAAAGAGUAUGUUGAGUUUUUGAAUAUUCAACUGAUCUUUCUCUUAAAUAAAAAUUGAGAGCACUA
Molecule: long non-coding RNA, 622 nt
Organism: Mustela lutreola (European mink)
Lineage: Eukaryota; Metazoa; Chordata; Mammalia; Carnivora; Mustelidae
Exons: 2
Source: RefSeq, a predicted model, not a curated record